RNAcentral lists this ribosomal RNA (449 nucleotides) under uncultured bacterium. Its description in RNAcentral is "partial 16S ribosomal RNA". It matches the Rfam family "Bacterial small subunit ribosomal RNA", at positions 328 to 794 of the family's 1533-position model. The record is from RNAcentral.
GUUCCAGACUCCUACGGGAGGCAGCAGUGGGGAAUAUUGCACAAUGGGGGAAACCCUGAUGCAGCGACGCCGCGUGAAGGAAGAAGUAUUUCGGUAUGUAAACUUCUAUCAGCAGGGAAGAAAAUGACGGUACCUGACUAAGAAGCCCCGGCUAACUACGUGCCAGCAGCCGCGGUAAUACGUAGGGGGCAAGCGUUAUCCGGAUUUACUGGGUGUAAAGGGAGCGUAGACGGCGGCGCAAGUCCGGAGUGAAAGCCCACGGCCCAACCGUGGGACUGCUCUGGAAACUGUGCGGCUUGAGUGCGGGAGGGGCAGGCGGAAUUCCUAGUGUAGCGGCGAAAUGCGUAGAUAUAAGGAAGAACACCAGUGGCGAAGGCGGAUGACUGGACGGCAACUGACGGUGAGGCGCGAAAGCGUGGGGAGCAAACAGGAUUAGAUACCCGGGUACA